Molecule: ribosomal RNA, 474 nt
Filed under: uncultured bacterium
Lineage: Bacteria
Description: partial 16S ribosomal RNA
Rfam family: Bacterial small subunit ribosomal RNA
Source: RNAcentral
GAUGAACGCUCGCGGCAGGCCUAACACAUGCAAGUCGAGGGAGGAGCUUUCGGGCUUCGACCGGCGUACGGGUGCGUAACGCGUAUACAAUCUGCCUUUCACAUAGGGAUAGCCCGAAGAAAUUUGGAUUAAUACCUAAUGGUAUAUAGGAGUGGCAUCACCUUUAUAUUAAAGCUGAGGCGGUGAAAGAUGAGUAUGCGUUCUAUUAGCUAGUUGGAGAGGUAACGGCUCCCCAAGGCGACGAUAGAUAGGGGUUCUGAGAGGGAUAUCCCCCACACUGGUACUGAGAUACGGACCAGACUCCUACGGGAGGCAGCAGUGAGGAAUAUUGGACAAUGGUCGGAAGACUGAUCCAGCCAUGCCGCGUGCAGGAAGACGGCCUUAUGGGUUGUAAACUGCUUUUGCAGGGGAAGAAUAAGGAGUACGUGUACUUUGAUGACGGUACUCUGCGAAUAAGCAUCGGCUAACUCCGUG